This 79-nucleotide non-coding RNA is filed under the name Lingulaulax polyedra. Lineage: Eukaryota; Dinophyceae; Gonyaulacales; Lingulodiniaceae. The record is from RNAcentral.
CGGGCCUUGAUGGACUACGUGGGCGAGCGCGCCGUGGAGCGCUCCACUGCUGAAUGGGUCCAGCUGGACGUGCUCCGAA